Molecule: non-coding RNA, 74 nt
Organism: Thalassophryne amazonica
Lineage: Eukaryota; Metazoa; Chordata; Actinopteri; Batrachoidiformes; Batrachoididae
Source: the annotation of a RefSeq genome assembly
GGCACUGUAGCUCAGCUGGCUAAAGUGUCUGUCUUGUAAACAGAAGAGCCUGGGUUCAAAUUCCAGCAGUGUCU